Molecule: ribosomal RNA, 479 nt
Filed under: uncultured bacterium
Lineage: Bacteria
Description: partial 16S ribosomal RNA
Rfam family: Bacterial small subunit ribosomal RNA
Source: RNAcentral
GACGAACGCUGGCGGCGUGCUUAACACAUGCAAGUCGAACGGUAAGGCCCUUCGGGGUACACGAGUGGCGAACGGGUGAGUAACACGUGGGUGAUCUGCCCUGCACUUCGGGAUAAGCCUGGGAAACUGGGUCUAAUACCGGAUAGGACCUCUGCCUACAUGGGUGGUGGUGGCAAGCUUUUGCGGUGUGGGAUGGGCCCGCGGCCUAUCAGCUUGUUGGUGGGGUGAUGGCCUACCAAGGCGACGACGGGUAGCCGGCCUGAGAGGUGUGACCGGCCACACUGGGACUGAGAUACGGCCCAGACUCCUACGGGAGGCAGCAGUGGGGAAUAUUGCACAAUGGGCGCAAGCCUGAUGCAGCGACGCCGCGUGAGGGAUGACGGCCUUCGGGUUGUAAACCUCUUUCAGCACCGACGAAGCGCAAGUGACGGUAGGUGCAGAAGAAGGACCGGCCAACUACGUGCCAGCAGCCGCAGUAA